UACGGGGGGUGCGAGCGUUAAUCGGAAUUAUUGGGCGUAAAGGGUGCGUAGGUGGUUAUUUAAGUUAGUUGUGAAAGACCUGGGCUUAACCUGGGGUUGUCAACUAAGACUGGAUGACUUGAGUACAGGAGAGGGCAGUGGAAUUUCCGGUGUAGCGGUGAAAUGCGUAGAGAUCGGAAGGAACACCGGCGGCGAAGGCGGCUGCCUGGUCUGUUACUGACACUGAGGCACGAAAGCGUGGGGAGCAAACAGG
This 253-nucleotide ribosomal RNA is filed under the name uncultured bacterium. RNAcentral's name for it is "partial 16S ribosomal RNA". It matches the Rfam family "Bacterial small subunit ribosomal RNA", at positions 524 to 776 of the family's 1533-position model. The record is from RNAcentral.